ACGUACACUCCUGCGGGAGGCAGCAGUGGGGAAUAUUGCACAAUGGGCGCAAGCCUGAUGCAGCCAUGCCGCGUGUAUGAAGAAGGCCUUCGGGUUGUAAAGUACUUUCAGCGGGGAGGAAGGCGAUAAGGUUAAUAACCUUGUUGAUUGACGUUACCCGCAGAAGAAGCACCGGCUAACCCCGUGCCAGCAGCCGCGGUAAUACGGAGGGUGCAAGCGUUAAUCGGAAUUACUGGGCGUAAAGCGCACGCAGGCGGUCUGUCAAGUCGGAUGUGAAAUCCCCGGGCUCAACCUGGGAACUGCAUUCGAAACUGGCAGGCUAGAGUCUUGUAGAGGGGGGUAGAAUUCCAGGUGUAGCGGUGAAAUGCGUAGAGAUCUGGAGGAAUACCGGUGGCGAAGGUGGCCCCCUGGACAAAGACUGACGCUCAGGUGCGAAAGCGUGGGGAGCAAACAGGAUUAGAUACCCUAGUAGUCC
This 475-nucleotide ribosomal RNA is filed under the name uncultured organism. RNAcentral describes it as "partial 16S ribosomal RNA". It matches the Rfam family "Bacterial small subunit ribosomal RNA", at positions 329 to 796 of the family's 1533-position model. The record is from RNAcentral.